This 524-nucleotide ribosomal RNA is filed under the name Clostridioides difficile. Its description in RNAcentral is "bacterial SSU rRNA". It matches the Rfam family "Bacterial small subunit ribosomal RNA", at positions 1000 to 1524 of the family's 1533-position model. The record is from RNAcentral. Lineage: Bacteria; Bacillati; Bacillota; Clostridia; Peptostreptococcales; Peptostreptococcaceae.
CCUUAAUCGGAGAGUUCCCUUCGGGGACAUUGGUGACAGGUGGUGCAUGGUUGUCGUCAGCUCGUGUCGUGAGAUGUUGGGUUAAGUCCCGCAACGAGCGCAACCCUUGUCUUUAGUUGCCAUCAUUAAGUUGGGCACUCUAGAGAGACUGCCAGGGAUAACCUGGAGGAAGGUGGGGAUGACGUCAAAUCAUCAUGCCCCUUAUGCUUAGGGCUACACACGUGCUACAAUGGGUAGUACAGAGGGUUGCCAAGCCGUAAGGUGGAGCUAAUCCCUUAAAGCUACUCUCAGUUCGGAUUGUAGGCUGAAACUCGCCUACAUGAAGCUGGAGUUACUAGUAAUCGCAGAUCAGAAUGCUGCGGUGAAUGCGUUCCCGGGUCUUGUACACACCGCCCGUCACACCACGGGAGUUGGAGACGCCCGAAGCCGAUUAUCUAACCUUUUGGAAGAAGUCGUCGAAGGUGGAAUCAAUAACUGGGGUGAAGUCGUAACAAGGUAGCCGUAUCGGAAGGUGCGGCUGGAUC